UCUCCUGACCUGACACUUCGUAUGAGAA
RNAcentral lists this non-coding RNA (28 nucleotides) under Rattus norvegicus (Norway rat). Lineage: Eukaryota; Metazoa; Chordata; Mammalia; Rodentia; Muridae. The record is from RNAcentral.